GAGGGUAUAGCUCAGCGGAGAGCACAUGCUUAGCACGCAUAAGGUCCUGGGUUCAAUCCCCUGUACCUCCA
This 71-nucleotide transfer RNA is filed under the name Camelus bactrianus (Bactrian camel). It matches the Rfam family "tRNA". Rfam says of the family: Transfer RNA (tRNA) molecules are approximately 80 nucleotides in length. Their secondary structure includes four short double-helical elements and three loops (D, anti-codon, and T loops). RNAcentral also lists the same sequence under 2 other names. Lineage: Eukaryota; Metazoa; Chordata; Mammalia; Artiodactyla; Camelidae. The record is from Rfam by way of RNAcentral.